Molecule: ribosomal RNA, 482 nt
Filed under: uncultured bacterium
Lineage: Bacteria
Description: partial 16S ribosomal RNA
Rfam family: Bacterial small subunit ribosomal RNA
Source: RNAcentral
GAUGAACGCUAGCGGCAGGCCUAAUACAUGCAAGUCGAACGAGAUUAAGAGGCUUGCUUCUUAUGAAAGUGGCGCACGGGUGCGUAACGCGUAUGCAACCUACCUUAAUCAGGGGGAUAGCCCGAAGAAAUUCGGAUUAAGACCGCAUAAAAACACAGGAUAGCAUUAUCCAAUGUUCAAAUAUUUAUAGGAUUACGAUGGGCAUGCGUGUCAUUAGCUAGUUGGCGGGGUAACGGCCCACCAAGGCGACGAUGACUAGGGGAUCUGAGAGGAUGACCCCCCACACUGGUACUGAGACACGGACCAGAAUCCUACGGGAGGCAGCAGUAAGGAAUAUUGGUCAAUGGAGGGAACUCUGAACCAGCCAUGCCGCGUGCAGGAAGACAGCCCUCUGGGUCGUAAACUGCUUUUAUUCGGGAAUAAACCUUUCUACGUGUAGGAAGCUGAAUGUACCGAAGGAAUAAGGAUCGGCUAACUCCGUG